Long non-coding RNA from Alnus glutinosa, 1812 nucleotides. RefSeq lists it as uncharacterized. The transcript has 7 exons. The record is from RefSeq and is a predicted model, not a curated record. NCBI's taxonomy places the organism in Eukaryota, Viridiplantae, Streptophyta, Magnoliopsida, Fagales, Betulaceae.
AACACAAACUAAACUACUGAAGGAAGUUUUUCCCCAUCAAUUUGCGGGGAUUCUCGAACGGCAAGUCAAGCACAUCUCUGCAGCAAGCUAAGCCCAUUCCUCUAUCUGUGCAACAAGCCAUCCAGAGCUGCAAGCCAUAUUUGCAACAAGUUAUCCACAGCAAGUCAAGCCAUCCUCUCUGCAACGAGUCUUCCACGCCAACAGCACAGCAAACCAUUCCUCAAAUAUUCCACCCGUACCUUCUUAUAUUUCUCUUUUAGUUUUCAUUUUGUCAUCUGGUUCUUAACCUUUAUUAUGUCUAUAUAUUAGCCUUGUAAUCAAAACUAUGUAAUCAAAAUCAGCAAGAUGUAAUCUUUAGUUUUACCUUAUGUUCUUCUUUUCUUCUUCUUUCCCUUCUCUAUUUCUCCUUCCCAUUUAUUUUUGUUGGCUCUUUGUUGUAUUUCACUUUUCUUUUGUAAGCAUGCUGUUUUUGGACCUAUUUGUUGUAAUUUCUAUGUUUAGUUGCUAUUAAAAAAAAAAAAUUAAUUAGAAGUAAAAGUCAAACCGAAGGAAGUUCCUACUAUCAGUUUGUAGGGGAAUAUUAGAGGAUAUCCACGGCAGCAAGCAAGUCACCGCUCCACUGCACCAAGCCAUCCCCAAAUCUGCAGCAACCACUCCUCUAUCUCAACCCAUACCUUCGAGCCAUACCCAUUUGUAUUUCUUCUUUAGUUUAUGUUUUUGUACUCUAGUGUUUAACCUUUGUUAAGUGUAUAUAUUAGACCAUUUUGUAACAGAAUAGGCAAUGAAAUCAGCAACAAUGUAGUCCUUAAUUUUACCUUGUGUUUGUCUUCUUCUUCCCUCUUCUCCUUCUCUGUGUUCACUGUCUUCCCUUUAUCUUUUAUUUCUAACACGGAGCACCGCCCACAGCCGAGCAGGAGCGCCGACCACCGCAUUCUCUCUCUACAGUCUCUGUCUCUGAAAUAAGGAUUAUGAAGACUCUGGUAAUUCAAUCUUUGAACGGAUUUCUCGUUGUUACCCUGUCUCCUUCAUUGAUAAGGCACAUUUGGAAAAGGGUGAUAAAAGGUCCAGCAACUUUAGACAUAGAGUACCCUAUAUUAUUUGAACUAAUUAAGAAAUCCUUCUGCUGGACGAGUUAGUCAAUGUGGAGUCCUAGAAUUUGUUGCUGAUGAGGGACUGAUAUAUUUACCAUGCUGGAGGGAGACGUGGUGCAAGUGAAGAAUGCCAGCCUUGCAAAGGGAACAUAUGUGAAGCUGCAGCCCCACACCAAGGACUUCUUAGAUAUCUCCAACCCCAAAGCUAUGUUGGAAAGAUCAUUAAGGGGCUACUCUUGUUUAACCACUGGUGAUACCAUCAUGGUUGCUUAAGCACGACCAACCAGAGGGUCAAAAUGGAACCAAUUAUUCUAAGUCAACAAAUCCUGCCUCACAUCAACCCUCUGGAAGGCUUGUGUUUGGUUCAAAUGCAAACAAACCUGAAAAGGAAGCACCAAAAGUUGCCCCAAAGAACAACAAUCAAGAGCUGCAGCAGAAGAUAGAAGAGCCAAAGUUUCAAGCAUUCACGGGGAAAAAGUAUUCACUGAAAGGAUAAUCAUAGUUAAGCUUUUCUCCUCCCGUCCCUUUAAUAGAUAUGAGAUAGAAUCAAAGUCAUUUUGGCAAUGAAAGAUUCAUACAGUAAGAUUAAAUCUACAUGCAAGUUGUAAAUUAAUCUUUGUGGUAUCCACUAAUUAACUUAAAUUAUUAGGAGAUCUCAUUUACUUGAUGUAAGUGUAAGGUUUUUAAGCAUUACCUGCAAAGUUGAUAUAUAUUCCAUUGU